UCCCUGUCAAAUUUGUCAUCAGGAACAAC
RNAcentral lists this small RNA (29 nucleotides) under Bombyx mori (domestic silkworm). RNAcentral describes it as "ovarian small RNA-27415". The record is from RNAcentral. Lineage: Eukaryota; Metazoa; Arthropoda; Insecta; Lepidoptera; Bombycidae.